Gossypium raimondii (Peruvian cotton) is the source of this 530-nucleotide long non-coding RNA. RefSeq lists it as uncharacterized. NCBI's taxonomy places the organism in Eukaryota, Viridiplantae, Streptophyta, Magnoliopsida, Malvales, Malvaceae. The transcript has 2 exons. The record is from RefSeq and is a predicted model, not a curated record.
UCCAGUAUUGUGGUCCAUCAUACUUCCAUCCUUCCAACACCAAUCCAUGACCCGUUUUAUUGGCUUCCCUUGGUACGUGUUUGAACUGCAAACUUCUAAACUUGGAGGUUCUCCCCUUGAUUUCUUGGAUCAAACUUCAAUGCAUGAUCUAUCUUCAACUGCAGCGAUUAGUUUCCUAAUAACAGUCAACGUAUCUCUCUCAACACAUAUGUCUUGGAAACCCAUUUCUUCUGCCAUAGUAACAGCCUGUAAGCACGCCUCGCCUCGGCCAUUGUUGGAUCUAAAAUAUUCUUUCAUGGUGUAUUAAAGCUAGCUCGGAUCUAAGAAUCGUCAGCGACUUAAUCACGCUAUCGGAUAUCUAUUUUGGUAUUUUAUUUUUGAAGUUGUAUAUAUGGUAUAUGGCAUGUAUAGGCUAGUGUCUUGAUGAUGUAUUUUGUCUUGGGACUCAUGCCAUGUGAUGUGGCUUGAUAAUGAUGGAAAUGAUGAAAUGGUUUUGGUUUAUGUUAUGAGAUGAAAUAAUUUAUAUGUGA